This is a long non-coding RNA of Bos indicus x Bos taurus (hybrid cattle), 343 nucleotides long. NCBI's taxonomy places the organism in Eukaryota, Metazoa, Chordata, Mammalia, Artiodactyla, Bovidae. The record is from Ensembl.
UCUAACUCCCCUUGCCUUUUGUUUAUAGAACUAAGUUUGGGCUACAACUAGAGGUGAUUGGUAUCAAUCUUUACAUUUUAAAUCUUCUUUAUUUCAGGCUUCUUUAUUGUGAUCAGGAAUUUCCGGAUGCUUUGUUGUCAACUGCACGAAGUCAGAUAUACUCAAUAUUUUUAACUUGCAAAUGAGGAAACAGAGCAUCCCGCUAUUUCUUCUGCCGGCUGCCUUAACUGCAUGACUCUAGAACCUGGGGUAGAAUGCUGUCUUUAAACACAAACUAAUUACUUUAUCUUAUGGGCAACCAAAAAAGGUAAUCUGUAACAUUGCUGGGUUGGAAAAGAAAACU